GACCGCGUAGCUCAGUUGGUAGAGCAUUGGACUAGUAUUCCAAAGGUCGUAGGUUCGAAUCCCACCGUGGUCA
Molecule: non-coding RNA, 73 nt
Organism: Paramuricea clavata
Lineage: Eukaryota; Metazoa; Cnidaria; Anthozoa; Malacalcyonacea; Plexauridae
Source: the annotation of a GenBank genome assembly